ACUUCCGGUAUUCUCAUGUUUAUAAGGCUGUAGGGUCAAAUUAACUUUCUAUUCACACACGUUUCUCUCCACCUAAAGAUGUUCCUAGGUUCUAGUAAGUGUAGGUCUAAUAGGCACUGCUAUGGAAGAUUUCACACACGAGUAGAUAUAACUGCACGAAAUGUCUGGAUCUAGAAAAUGCUAGGCCUACGCAAAACAGACUUGAUACAAAUGAAAAGAAUUAGAUCAAGUCUUGAAUUUUUCAUUACACCGCCAUUAAUAUUGGCAGCGUUUGCUCCACGGGCACGUGACGUGUAAAUAACUUCAUCAAUUAUUCAAGAUUAAGAAUGAUCAUACAGCAGUACUACACCUAAAAUUAAAAAGAGAUGGAUCAUUGAAGAAAGCUGAUGCUCAAGUCAAGUGAUCUUGAUGCUGGAAAUUAUAAUGGAUGGCUACAAGCUUAAACAUUUACAAGUGCUACACAUGAAAGUUUUUACUACACAAGGCCUAUAAUCUAUAUGUAAAUCCAGACAAGGCCAUUCAUAGUGACAUGAUAGUAUCCUGAAUUGUUCUAUAGGCUUGUUGAUAAGGUAUUGUGGAUGCAUUUUUAAUGAGCAGUUCAUUAAUUUUACACUAUCGAACAAGAGCUGACAUAUUAAAGGGUUUAACAGAUGCAGAGCUAAUUACAGAUUUCAAGUUUUUUGUUUUUUUUUUGGUUGACAUAAUAAAUACCAUAAUUGAAUAUUA
Long non-coding RNA from Biomphalaria glabrata, 726 nucleotides. RefSeq lists it as uncharacterized. The transcript has 9 exons. The record is from RefSeq and is a predicted model, not a curated record. Lineage: Eukaryota; Metazoa; Mollusca; Gastropoda; Planorbidae.